ACCAUUAGGGUAGCAGUCCAAUGGCACUUGGAUGGGUUGUUUUUAUUCUACUGUUAUUAGACUAGUUGUGUCCAAAUCUGCUAGUGUACACGUUGGCACUUGUUUGCCAGUGAUUGCACGGUACUCUUGAUACUAUUCGGGCCUCCUUUAAUAAAGUGCUAAUGUCUUUUCAAUGGUGGUCUCUGAACCUCUGGUAUUUGAAGGUGCUACUCUCUUAUAAGUGCAGGUUAUGUUGUAACUUCCUGAUGUCACAUUAGUUAAUCAUUUCUGAAGGAUUUUAUUUUAAUCAAACGGCUAGUGCUGUCCAAACAGUUAGUAGUCAUCAAAUUAGCAAGAAUGUUAUGAGUGCUCUUUAGUUUAUAUCAGGUUCAUCACAUUAGAUUCUGUUUUCCUUUAUGCCCAUUGUAAUCCAUCACCAGUCUUGGUUUUAUGCUUUAGUUAUGCUGAGAAAAUUUUAGGGUGUGACAGGCACAGAAUUUUUUUUUCUAUGUUAGAAUUUGGUUGCUAAAUAUGUAGAUACAACCAGCUGUCCUCUUUUCUCUUUAGUUGAGGAGGAUGUGGAAGCUGGAGUCUAUGGU
RNAcentral lists this unclassified non-coding RNA (578 nucleotides) under Hevea brasiliensis (rubber tree). The record is from RNAcentral. Lineage: Eukaryota; Viridiplantae; Streptophyta; Magnoliopsida; Malpighiales; Euphorbiaceae.